UCCUAACAGCCGGUAGGCUGUUAGGAAUUGUGGGAGUUGGAGUCCAAAACACCCGGAGGGCUGAAGUUUGCCCAUGCCUGCUCUAUCAGCUCCAGUUCCAUGCAGGGACAUGAGAGAAGCCUCCGACCAAAACCCCUGGUGUCCCCUGGGCAACAUCCUUGCAGACAGCCAAUCCUCUCACACCAGAAGCAACUUGCAGUUUCUUAAAAAAAAAAAAAAAGUAGGCCUACUCCAAGGAGCCCCGGUGGCGAAGUGUGUUAAAGCACUGAGCUGGAGACCGAAAGGUCCCAGGUUCAAAACCCGGGAGCGGCGUGAGCGGCCGCUGUUAGCUCCAGCUCCUGCCAACCUAGCAGUUCGAAAACAUGCCAAUGUGAUUAGAUCAAUAGGUACCGCUCCGGCGGGAAGGUAACGGCGCUCCAUGAAGUCAUGCCAGCCACAUGACCUUGGAGGUGUCUACGGACAACGCUGGCUCUUCGGAGAUGAGCACCGACCCCCAGAGUCAGACAUGACUGGACUUAACAUCAGGGGAAACCUUUACCUUUACGUUAGGCCUACUCCAGUGAGGUACAAACUGACAGGAUUCAGAAGGAUGCUUUCCUGGCCACGGAGGCUUUCUUCAUUUCCCAGAAGCAUCCCAUCUUAGAGUUGGAAGGGACCUCAAGGACCAUCCAAUCCAACCCGCCUUCUGCCCUGCAGGAACACACAAUCAAAGCAUCCCCGGCAAAUGGACAUCCAGCCUCUGCUUAGAAACUUACAGCGAAGGAGACCACCACAUUCAGAGGAGGCAGAAUACUGCACUGCCAAACAGCUCUUACCAUCAAGAGGUUCUUCCAAAUGUUUAGGUAGAAUCCCAACCCUCUUAUGCGCUUACGAAACAUGGACUGUCUAAUGACACUCAACUCCUGGAACAAUUGCUUCAGCAUUGCCUCCGAAAAAUCCUGCAAAUCUCUUGGGAAGACAGAUGGACAAAUGUCAGCAUGCUGGAAGAAGCAAAGACCACCACAAUUGAAGCGAUGCUCCUCCACCAUCAACUCCACUGGAUUUGCCACAUUUUCCAAAUGCCCAAUCACUGUCUCCCAAAGCAGUUAUUCUGCUCUCAACUCAAGAAUGGAAAAGGGAAUAUUGGUGGACAGGAAAAGAGAUUUAAAGACGGACCGAAAGCUAACCUUAAAAACCGUGGCAUAGACACCGAGAACUGGGAAGCCCUGGCCCUUGAGCUCUCUUAACUGGAGGUCAGUUGUGACCAGCAGUGCUGUGGAAUUUGAAGAGGCACAAAUGGAAGGGGAAAGGGGAAAACACGGCAAGAGGAAGGUGCAUCAAGCCAACCCUGACCGGGCCCCUCCUUCCCCCUGGAAACUGAUGUCCUCACUGUGGAAGAACAUGCAGGUCAAGAGUAGGACUCCACAAUCACCUACGUACCCACCACCAAGACACUACACUUGGAAGGCCAUCAUAAAUGGCUGAAAAGACAGGAGAAUUUUGGGAGAAGAGCUGUAACAGAAUCUCCCAAAGACUGCUCCCCUACAUGAAAUCCCAAGAUAUCUUUGAAGGAUAAUUUUCAUCCGUUAGUGUGUGUGCAAGACAGAAAAAAAGAGUUUGACUCUGGUGAUACUGUCUUUGAGAAACUGUUAUAGACAGAGGCAGAACUGUUGCAUAACUUCUCCAGCAGAGUACAGCAUGAAUCCCAAUUUCAGUAUAAUGCUUAAGUACCAAGAAGCUCAAGAAAGGACUUGUUUAGUCCCACAGGAUCUUCUAAUGCCAUCUGGAACGAAAAAAGGAGAGAACCAGGCCAUAUAAGAACUUUCUCUCAGAGGACCUGGAAAAUUAACUUUAUAGGGAUGGAGAAUAGCUCAACAGCAGCAUGUAUACCAAGCACACAGAAGGAUAUGGGCUCAGUCCUUCCUGUCUUCAGAGAGAAAUAGAAUUCAGGGAGCAGCUAUGGGAAAUAUCUCUUAAUGCCCAAAAUCUUGGGCAACCAUGACGAGUGAAAGUUUAAAAUAAUUGGGUUUGAAGGACAAAUACAGCCUGAACCCGGUAGAAAGCAGUUUCCUAUUUUCCUCCCAACAUACAUGCAACUAUCAAACAUUUUGCAGCUGUUCAGAGCACUUUUCCCUCUAUCUCUAAAGCCAGAUAAUUAUUUCAGCUGUAUGCAGGUGCUGCGAUCUUGCCUUUUAUUGAGCUCUGGAGUUUUGCCCAAGCCAUUCUAGCACGCAUUCAGGUCUGAUUGGCCAUGUUGCCCAUGCCACCACCAACAGCAAUUUCUCUCUUCAGUGAUGACUUCUGUUUAAAUUAUUAUUUUAUAAAAACACACAUACAGACGCACAAUUUUAAAAAACCCAAACCAACGUUCACUUGGUUCUCUUAAAUCUUUGGAAGUCCCGGAUUCUAAUGAUUUUAAAACAAGAAUAACAGUCCACCAUUCCAUCCUAAAAACCAUGCUCCCCUUAUCCGCCCUUUUAUAGCAGCAGCCGGAUCCACAGGCACACAACGAAGAAAAAUCCAAUGGUGUCCCUUAUUGCUUUGUAACAGUUCAGAAUGAAGGCAGCCUUGAAGUGCAGCAGAAGGAAGUCUGAGCCACUCAUUCAGUGGUGAGCGAAAGAAGCACCAUGACAAGAAUGCCGGUACACAGGAGGAGGACUUGUUGCACUGAGUUCCUAGGCAAAGCAGGGACAGAUUAAAAAAAAAGGUUGGAUUCAAGAAAGGCACAACAUGUUUGCAUUGCCUUUUUUACCCCAGUCAAAGAAGCAAUUUCUACAAUCUUCUCCAAGCCCAUGGGAAAGUCAAGAUCACACGAGAAGAACCCUUCCUUCAGAUUUCUCCCUAUCGGGUAGUUGGGAAACCCCUUUCCCACUCAACCUAAAUCUACUACCCCACACUAGAGAUGCAUACCUGACUGGCUGGAUAGCCCAUGGAUAUCCACCCCAUCCAUCACACUGUCAGCAAAAACUGUCGGGUCCAUCCACUUUAUUCCAACUAUGGCUUGAACCCAGAUUCAGUAGUUCUGGCUGGAAAACUUUGUUGCUAUGUUUUGGAAACAAAUUUGGAAACAAAUUUUGCAUCCUUGCUAAUUGGGAUAUAAAGAUAAAGGUUUCCCCUGACGUUAAGUCCAGUCAUGUCUGACUCUGGGGGUUGGUGCUCAUCUCCAUUUCUCCAUCUGGCUCUUCAAAUGCACUCUGGUCUAAUUGGGAUAUAGUACAGCCCUAAUACAGUACAGCCUUUGUAUCUGUGGAGCCAGUAUACUCAGUUUAAUUUAUACAUAUCUAAUGAAAUAUAUUAUCUAUGAUAUUCUUGAACUGGAAGUCUUUUAUUUCAAUAUGGUUCACUAUUACCCACAGUCUUACAUAUGCACGCAAAGUCUGGGAACAUAUUCCCCAUGUAUACAUGGGCUGUACUGUAUAAAGUUGUUUACUGUAGGUUGUAUGUGGCAAAUAGAUUAUUACAGUAUGAUAAAACAGCAAAGGGGAGAGAAAUAUAAAUAUCUCUCUGGUCUAUCUUAUGUCCGCUGCAGCUUUCUGAAAUAUAAUACAACUUUAUCCAUUCUUUGUACUUUCAUGAAUUAAUUGCUUUUAAGGCUGAAAAGCAUGCAUCUGAUGAAAUAGGUUCUGACCUACUUCAUCACUUACCAAGCUGCACUUACCAAGGAUUCUUUUCCUCUAAGAGAUCAGGCACAACAUUUACCAAGGCAAUGUAUAAGAAUCCCCCAGAGGUAAAUGGGAGAAUCCAAGCGAUGGUUUCCCCUGGAGGAACAGUGAGAAAAGCA
This is a long non-coding RNA of Anolis carolinensis (green anole), 3760 nucleotides long. RefSeq lists it as uncharacterized. NCBI's taxonomy places the organism in Eukaryota, Metazoa, Chordata, Lepidosauria, Squamata, Anolidae. The record is from RefSeq and is a predicted model, not a curated record. The transcript has 2 exons.